AUUGAACGCUGGCGGCAUGCCUUACACAUGCAAGUCGAACGGCAGCACGGGUGCUUGCACCUGGUGGCGAGUGGCGAACGGGUGAGUAAUACAUCGGAACAUGUCCUGUAGUGGGGGAUAGCCCGGCGAAAGCCGGAUUAAUACCGCAUACGAUCCACGGAUGAAAGCGGGGGACCUUCGGGCCUCGCGCUAUAGGGUUGGCCGAUGGCUGAUUAGCUAGGUGGUGGGGUAAAGGCCUACCAAGGCGACGAUCAGUAGCUGGUCUGAGCGGACGACCAGCCACACUGGGACUGAGACACGGCCCAGACUCCUACGGGAGGCAGCAGUGGGGAAUUUUGGACAAUGGGCGAAAGCCUGAUCCAGCAAUGCCGCGUGUGUGAAGAAGGACUGCGGGUUGUAAAGCUCUUUUGUCCGGAAAGAAAUCCUUGACUCUAAUACAGUCGGGGGAUGACGGUACCGGAAGAAUAAGCACCGGCUAACUACGUG
This 486-nucleotide ribosomal RNA is filed under the name uncultured bacterium. RNAcentral describes it as "partial 16S ribosomal RNA". It matches the Rfam family "Bacterial small subunit ribosomal RNA", at positions 30 to 507 of the family's 1533-position model. The record is from RNAcentral.